UACAUGAAGCUGGAAUCGCUAGUAAUCGCGAAUCAGAAUGUCGCGGUGAAUACGUUCCCGGGUCUUGUACACACCGCCCGUCACACCAUGGGAGUCGGAUAUGCCCGAAGCCGGUGACCUAACCGCAAGGAAGGAGCCGUCGAAGGUGGAGCCGAUGACUGGGGUGAAGUCGUAACAAGGUACC
This 184-nucleotide ribosomal RNA is filed under the name uncultured bacterium. Its description in RNAcentral is "partial 16S ribosomal RNA". It matches the Rfam family "Bacterial small subunit ribosomal RNA", at positions 1317 to 1500 of the family's 1533-position model. The record is from RNAcentral.